CACAUCUACAAGAACCUUUCAGGAAACCAACUUACUUGUUGUUCACUUAACAUUCAGCAGUGGAUUCCACAGGCCUCCUCUAGCUAGGGCUAAGAACUGGAUUUUGGUUAUUGUCCCAGACGCCCAAGAACCAACAGAGAAAGAGUUGGAAAAAUACACAGGUGUCUGGUAGUAGCCCACGCUAUGGAAGUAAACCAGGAAAAUACCUGCAGAGCCUUCUCCCUGCAGCGAAAUUUACACCCCGACCCCUAUUACCAAUGCUAAUAACCAUCAUGGAUCGUUUGCUUGAGAAGAAUCCGUGGAACUGCUGACGCCUCUUUUCUUCUUUCUUCUUUCCAAAGACAAAGGGAGUUGCACUGACACUCUUGUUUCUAGGUGGGCGACUGGGACGUUUUUCACCCGGACAAACUCUGGGGGGCGACGAAUCUCUCCCUUCGAGGGGGCGGGUGGAGAAAGAGAGAGGGGUGUGUGUGUGUGUGUGGAAAAACCAGAGGAGAUGCUAGAGAAGAGAAAUCUCUCCAGUGGCUCAUUAAGGCUGCCCCAUUCUGAUCAGAGCUUAGCUGCCACUGUUGGGGUUAUUCGUCUUCAGUUGCUUGCAUUAUUAGAUUUCUCACUCUCACAGAUCAUCCAAAAACUACCCAUUGGAUUGAUCGCCCGUAGAGCUGCAUUUGGUGUAAAGAAAAAAAACUUCACAGCUUUAUUGGCUCCCAGGAGACAAAACAAACAGAACGUAUUCGUAUUAAUACAAACAAUGCAAGAAACGCAGGAACCAUCCCAUAGAAAGCAGUUCAGCCAAGGGGGUCCAGCGGGCGGUAGCCCCAGCAGAAAGAGAUACCCCGGGAGGAUGGCUCAAGUUUUUGCGGCUGGCUCUCUGGGAUUUGCAAUAUUGUUCGCAGCGUCUCAUCGGAGGGAUCCUGGUCGGGAGCGAGAGAGAAGCCGCCAAAGGAAAAUGUGUAGACUGCGGGCGCCCCGUUGCUUCCAAUCAUCCGCGCGCCCACGCCACGAUAAAGGUGGCUGUGAAGAAAGGAGGAUCAACCCCCAACCCCCCCAACUCCACCCCCAGCGAUUUAAAUCUUCAGAAAUCCAUCGCUCGGUAGAUUUUGCUCAGAUCGAGGUCUCUGGGUCGCUUCCAUUGAAUACUGUUUCUGAAGCAAGAAUGAGUAAAUCCUACAACUGGAUUCUACACAUGUUCACCCGGAAGUAACCAACCAACACAAUCUCUGGACCCGUCUCACCUUAGAAGGAAAAGCCACCGCGUUAUAUAUAUCUCCCCACAGGGCGGAAGCCUCAGGUGAAUACUGAUCAAACAUAUAUCGGGAAACCCACCCAGAUUCAGAGCUCAGGGAAGUUACCUGUUUUGACUACAACUCCCAGAAGGGUGCGACCAGCACAAAUUACUGGGGCUUCUGAAAGUCUGAUCGAGUAACUUUUCCAAGAUCUGUCCAAACUUUUGCCAGCUGCGUCCCUUUAGCCGCCAUGCCAAUUUGUGGAAGGUUUAAUCCACCAUUUUGUAUUCGGGCUCUUAACUCUCUCCUAACUCCUUGCCAUUAUCCAUGGUGUUUGGGGCU
This 1568-nucleotide long non-coding RNA is filed under the name Pogona vitticeps (central bearded dragon). RNAcentral's name for it is "lncRNA (ENSPVIG00000021608.1)". The record is from RNAcentral. Lineage: Eukaryota; Metazoa; Chordata; Lepidosauria; Squamata; Agamidae.